This 340-nucleotide ribosomal RNA is filed under the name Escherichia coli 1-392-07_S3_C3. RNAcentral's name for it is "partial 16S ribosomal RNA". Lineage: Bacteria; Pseudomonadati; Pseudomonadota; Gammaproteobacteria; Enterobacterales; Enterobacteriaceae. The record is from RNAcentral.
AGGAACCCUUGGUCUUCCGGCGAGCGGGCUUUUCACCCGCUUUAUCGUUACUUAUGUCAGCAUUCGCACUUCUGAUACCUCCAGCAUACCUCACAGUACACCUUCACAGGCUUACAGAACGCUCCCCUACCCAACAACACACAGUGUCGCUGCCGCAGCUUCGGUGCAUGGUUUAGCCCCGUUACAUCUUCCGCGCAGGCCGACUCGACCAGUGAGCUAUUACGCUUUCUUUAAAUGAUGGCUGCUUCUAAGCCAACAUCCUGGCUGUCUGGGCCUUCCCACAUCGUUUCCCACUUAACCAUGACUUUGGGACCUUAGCUGGCGGUCUGGGUUGUUUCCC